GACGAACGCUGGCGGCGUGCUUAACACAUGCAAGUCGAACGGUGAAGCGCCUUCCUUUUUGGUGGGUGUGGAUGAGUGGCGAACGGGUGAGUAACACGUGAGUAACCUGCCCCCUUCUUCUGGAUAACCGCAUGAAAGUGUGGCUAAUACGGGAUAUUCUGGGUCUGUCGCAUGAUGGGUCUGGGAAAGAUAUUGUUUCGGUGGGGGAUGGGCUCGCGGCCUAUCAGCUUGUUGGUGGGGUGAUGGCCUACCAAGGCGGUGACGGGUAGCCGGCCUGAGAGGGUGGGGGGCCACACUGGGACGGGGACACGGCCCAAACUCCUAGGGGGGGGAGCAGGGGGGAAUAUGGAACAAGGGGCGCAAGCCUGAGGCAGCGGCGCCGGGGGAGGGAGGGGGGCCGUCGGGUGGGGAACCUCUUUCGCCAGGGAAGCAGGCCUGCCUUGUUUGUGGGGGGGUUGACGGUGGUGGGAUAAGAAGCGCCGGCUAACUACGU
Molecule: ribosomal RNA, 493 nt
Filed under: uncultured bacterium
Lineage: Bacteria
Description: partial 16S ribosomal RNA
Rfam family: Bacterial small subunit ribosomal RNA
Source: RNAcentral